AGGGCGCAUGAGUACGUAGUCGUCGACCCGAAACCGGGUGAUCUACCCAUGUCCAGGGUGAAGUUCCGGUAACACGGAAUGGAGGCCCGAACCUUUUGGUGUUGAAAAACCAUAGGAUGAGGUGUGGGUAGGGGUGAAAUGCCAAUCGAACUCGGAGAUAGCUGGUUCUCCCCGAAAUAGCUUUAGGGCUAGCCUCGGAGCAGGAGUGAUGGAGGUAGAGCACUGAUUGGGCUAGGGGCCCUCACCGGGUUACCGAACUCAGUUAAACUCCGAAUGCCAUCCACUUUUCCUCCGGGAGUCAGACUGCGAGUGCUAAGAUCCGUAGUCAAAAGGGAAACAGCCCAGACCACCAGCUAAGGUCCCCAAGUAACCGCUAAGUGGGAAAGGAUGUGGAGUUGCCCAGACAACCAGGAUGUUGGCUUAGAAGCAGCCAUCAUUCAAAGAGUGCGUAAUAGCUCACUGGUCAAGUGACUCUGCGCCGAAAAUGUAACGGGGCUAAGCGGUUCACCGAAGCUGUGGAUGUUGCCGAAGGCAACAUGGUAGGGGAGCGUUCCAAGCGGCGUCGAAGCCGCAUCGUGAGAUGCGGUGGAGUGCUUGGAAGUGAGAAUGCCGGUAUGAGUAGCGAAAAGAGGGGUGAGAAUCCCCUCCGCCGUAAGCCUAAGGGUUCCUGAGGAAGGUUCGUCCGCUCAGGGUAAGUCGGGACCUAAGCCGAGGCCGAAAGGCGUAGGCGAUGGACAACAGGUUGAAAUUCCUGUACCACCUGAUUCCGUUUGUACGAUGGGGGGACGCAGGAGGGUAGAGAAUCGCGCGACUGGAUGUGCGCGUCCAAGCGGUGAGGCUGAA
RNAcentral lists this ribosomal RNA (843 nucleotides) under Thermoactinomyces sp. CICC 10523. Its description in RNAcentral is "partial 23S ribosomal RNA". It matches the Rfam family "Bacterial large subunit ribosomal RNA", at positions 689 to 1529 of the family's 2925-position model. Lineage: Bacteria; Bacillati; Bacillota; Bacilli; Caryophanales; Thermoactinomycetaceae. The record is from RNAcentral.